This 478-nucleotide ribosomal RNA is filed under the name uncultured bacterium. RNAcentral's name for it is "partial 16S ribosomal RNA". It matches the Rfam family "Bacterial small subunit ribosomal RNA", at positions 28 to 523 of the family's 1533-position model. The record is from RNAcentral.
GACGAACGCUGGCGGCGUGCUUAACACAUGCAAGUCGAACGGUAAGGCCCUUCGGGGUACACGAGUGGCGAACGGGUGAGUAACACGUGGGUGAUCUGCCCUGCACUUCGGGAUAAGCCUGGGAAACUGGGUCUAAUACCGGAUAGGACUCCUGGCUUCAUGGUUGGGGGUGGAAAGCUUUUGCGGUGUGGGAUGGGCCCGCGGCCUAUCGGCUUGUUGGUGGGGUAAUGGCCUACCAAGGCGACGUCGGGUAGCCGGCCGGAGAGGGUAACCGGUCACACUGGGACUGAGAUACGGCUCAGAGUCCUACGGGAGGCAGCAGUGGGGAAGUAUGCCCAAUGGGCGCAAGCCUGAUGCAGCGACGCCGCGUGAGGGAUGCCGGCCUUCGGGUUGUAAACCUCUUUCAGCUAUGACGAAGCGCAAGUGACGGUAGUAGCAGAAGAAGGACCGGCCAACUACGUGCCAGCAGCCGCGGUAA